AUGGGGAUCCACCGUGGCGCUCAUGACGUUCGGCAUCGCCACCUCCGGCCGUUCAAGACGGAGCUCCUGGAUAGUGCUGGCCUGGCUCCAUGCUUCGGACCUGGAGAGGAGGUGGCUGGCUCACACCGGAUGGCUUUGCAUCAAUCCAACUACACUGCUAGUCCCCGUUCAGGGAUCUUGAAGAAAAUACAUGUGGUUUUGGCAUCUUGUCAGCUGCCCAUCAAAUGUAAGCCUAUUAUGUUGUCCUUCAGUAGCAGUUCGACAAAAAAACUGCAGCAAUUCUACAUGGGAAACUAUGAUAUUUCAGGUCUGCUACUAUGUACGUUGCUUGUUGAUAUGCCAAUGAGUACAUACAUUUUGUGUUGGUUCUUUUCCCCUUCGGCUUUCUCUGCCAUGGAUGUGUGCAUGCGUGCUAUGUACGUGAGUGCGCUACAGCAAUUUGUGUAA
This 447-nucleotide ribosomal RNA is filed under the name Triticum aestivum (bread wheat). RNAcentral's name for it is "partial small subunit ribosomal RNA". The record is from RNAcentral. Lineage: Eukaryota; Viridiplantae; Streptophyta; Magnoliopsida; Poales; Poaceae.